GGGGGUGUAAAGGUUUCGACGGGGGUGUGGAACCGGAAUAAGCGAGCCGUAGUUGCCGAGUCUACGUUAAAAGCGGCACGUUAAAGAUAAACGGAAAAACUGAUACUAAUUACGCAUUAGCAGCUUAGUCUGCCCGCGUCGUCAACCUUGAUUCACCUGUAGGUCAAGGAUCUGGCGUCGAAAUACAGGAAACCUUUGCGUGAGUUCCCGGUAGCGCAAAGGGAUUACGGGAUAGCGGAUUCCGCGGCUUGCCGGCUGUCUACGGAUGACGCGAAUUUAUAAACAAUCGGCUGCGCUCGGAGAAAGUUCUGCGGAAAUGCUUUCGGACGUGGGUUCGAUUCCCACCACCUUCACCA
RNAcentral lists this transfer-messenger RNA (356 nucleotides) under Eubacteriales Family XIII. Incertae Sedis bacterium. It matches the Rfam family "transfer-messenger RNA". From Rfam's summary of the family: Bacterial tmRNA, also known as 10Sa RNA or SsrA, is named for its dual tRNA and mRNA-like properties. Its role is to liberate the mRNA from a stalled ribosome. To accomplish this part of the tmRNA is used as a reading frame that ends in a translation stop signal. The record is from RNAcentral. Lineage: Bacteria; Bacillati; Bacillota; Clostridia; Peptostreptococcales; Anaerovoracaceae.